CGUCAGGAGUGAACGCUCGGCGGCGUGCCUAACACAUGCAAGUCGAGCGAUUACUUCGGUAAAGAGCGGCGGACGGGUGAGUAACGCGUGGGUAACCUGCCUCAUACACAUGGAUAACAUACCGAAAGGUAUGCUAAUACAGGAUAAUAUAAGAGAUUCACAUGGAUUUCUUAUCAAAGCUCCGGCGGUAUGAGAUGGACCCGCGUCUGAUUAGCUAGUUGGUAAGGUAAUGGCUUACCAAGGCGACGAUCAGUAGCCGACCUGAGAGGGUGAUCGGCCACAUUGGAACUGAGACACGGUCCAAACUCCUACGGGAGGCAGCAGUGGGGAAUAUUGCACAAUGGGCGAAAGCCUGAUGCAGCAACGCCGCGUGAGUGAUGAAGGCCUUCGGGUCGUAAAACUCUGUCCUCAAGGAAGAUAAUGACGGUACUUGAGGAGGAAGCCCCGGCUAACUACGUGCCAGCCGCCGC
RNAcentral lists this ribosomal RNA (470 nucleotides) under uncultured bacterium. RNAcentral describes it as "bacterial SSU rRNA". It matches the Rfam family "Bacterial small subunit ribosomal RNA", at positions 27 to 518 of the family's 1533-position model. The record is from RNAcentral.